CUGAUAGCUCAGUUGUUUAAGAAUCUGCCUGCAAUGCAGGAGACCCAGGUUCAAUUCCUGGGUCAG
This is a non-coding RNA of Ovis aries (sheep), 66 nucleotides long. NCBI's taxonomy places the organism in Eukaryota, Metazoa, Chordata, Mammalia, Artiodactyla, Bovidae. The record is from Rfam.